GCAUGCAAGUAGAUGAGCCACACCAGAGCCUCCCGUGACUGCCAGGCCAGAAAGGCCCCCAGGAGACGGAGAGUUACCAUCUGCGUUUCGCAAAAGAGGAAAGUGAGGCUCAAAGGAGAGAAAGUGACUUGCCCAAGGCCACAUGGCAGAUCCACUGGGGACAGAAAGAUCAUCCUGCCUCCACUUUUUAGACAUCCAUAUCCCCCUUGCAAGGAAGAACAGCAUAAAGUCAAAUGGCUUCAGGAUUAGUGUAAGGGAACCUUCAGCCUGAAGAAUUGAGCCUGCACAAGACUUGAAGGUCCCUCCCGCGCCGUCUUUUGGCUCCUUGUCCAGAGUCAGAGCAGAGGUUAGAACUCGGUGGGGCUAGAGACGUGUUGACCCCAUACAGGGAGGGGUUCAAGACAUGGCUUCAUUAGGCAUCCCGGAAAUGCAUCUGGAGUGCAGACCCCAUUCCCUGAUGUCCUGUAUAUUAAUUCACUGGAUCCCCAGGACGACCCUGCAAG
This 503-nucleotide long non-coding RNA is filed under the name Equus caballus (horse). RNAcentral describes it as "lncRNA (ENSECAG00000058081.1)". The record is from RNAcentral. Lineage: Eukaryota; Metazoa; Chordata; Mammalia; Perissodactyla; Equidae.